RNAcentral lists this ribosomal RNA (560 nucleotides) under uncultured bacterium. Its description in RNAcentral is "bacterial SSU rRNA". It matches the Rfam family "Bacterial small subunit ribosomal RNA", at positions 337 to 916 of the family's 1533-position model. The record is from RNAcentral.
UCCUACGGGAGGCAGCAGUGGGGAAUAUUGCGCAAUGGAGGAAACUCUGACGCAGCCAUGCCGCGUGUGUGAAGAAGGCCUUCGGGUUGUAAAGCACUUUCGACGGGGAAGAUGAUGACGGUACCCGUAGAAGAAGCCCCGGCUAACUUCGUGCCAGCAGCCGCGGUAAUACGAAGGGGGCAAGCGUUGUUCGGAAUUACUGGGCGUAAAGGGCGUGUAGGCGGAUGUAUUAGUUGGGGGUGAAAGCCUUGGGCUCAACCUGAGAACUGCCUUCAAUACUAUGCAUCUAGAGUCCGUGAGAGGAUGGCGGAAUACCCAGUGUAGAGGUGAAAUUCGUAGAUAUUGGGUAGAACACCGGUGGCGAAGGCGGCCAUCUGGCACGGUACUGACGCUGAGGCGCGAAAGCGUGGGGAGCAAACAGGAUUAGAUACCCUGGUAGUCCACGCCGUAAACGAUGUCUGCUAGCCGUUGGGGGUUUGGCCCUCGGUGGCGCAGCUAACGCAUUAAGCAGACCGCCUGGGGAGUACGGCCGCAAGGUUAAAACUCAAAUGAAUUGACGG